ACAACCCCAAGGCUUUCUCUUUUCCCUUCCCCUUUCCCCAUACAGCAAACCCUAGCAUCGCCAGGCUUCGAGCCUUCUCUCUCAUGCUAGAAAUGGAAAAGUUGCAGAGAGUACAAAGCUUUGCACCCUUCACACACCCAUUUUACGUGAUAAGCAUUAAUGAUGCAACCCCAGUUUCGUCUUCUUCCUCCCAAACAUGUUAUGUUUGCAUUUUUCGGUAUCCUGGGUUGCAGGCUAAACUGUUCAAUGGUAUUUGGUUCUAACUAUGCACUUGUGCUUGAUUGUGGUAAUGUUGAAGACCAUUUGGGGUUGGUCAAACCUUCCCCCAGUGGCAGCCAUGUCUGGGGUUCGAUGAAACCCCUUGAAUCUUGUGCGACACUGGGAAUAAGGAUGGUGGAAACAACCCUAAUCUUAUUCCAAAAUACUCAGCCCACAUAUCACUAAAAAGCACUAUGAGAAAAAAUAUCAUGUUAGAGCAGUUUGGUUACUUCUAUUUUAAUAUUAUUACUACACGUGUAUAUCUUCUAUGUAUAUUAUGUGAAUUUUAUAGCAUCCGGUCUAACCAAUUUCCUUUUCUUU
Long non-coding RNA from Lycium ferocissimum, 579 nucleotides. RefSeq lists it as uncharacterized. The transcript has 2 exons. The record is from RefSeq and is a predicted model, not a curated record. Lineage: Eukaryota; Viridiplantae; Streptophyta; Magnoliopsida; Solanales; Solanaceae.